This 408-nucleotide ribosomal RNA is filed under the name uncultured bacterium. Its description in RNAcentral is "partial 16S ribosomal RNA". It matches the Rfam family "Bacterial small subunit ribosomal RNA", at positions 29 to 526 of the family's 1533-position model. The record is from RNAcentral.
AGUGAACGCUGGCGGCGUGCCUAAUACAUGCAAGUCGAACGGAGUGGCGCACGGGUGAGUAAUAUAUAGCUACUCUGUCCCUUGCUGGAGGACAACAGUUAGAAAUGACUGCUAAUACUCCAUAGCAAGGGAUGAGACUAUAUCGUAUCAGCUAGUCGGUGGGGUAACGGCCUACCGAGGCUAUGACGCGUAACCGGUCUGAGAGGAUGAUCAGACACAUUGGAAGUGAGACACAGUGCAAACUCCUACGGGAGGGAGCAGAAUGGAAUAUUGCGCAGUGGGGGAAACCCUGACGCAGCAACGCCGCGUGGAGGAUGACACUUUGCGGAGCGUAAACUCCUUUGAUUAGGGAAGCGGUACCUGACGAAUAAGCACCGGCUAACUCCGUGCCAGCAGCCGCGGUAAUUC